CGGGGGACAACAUUUGGAAACGAAUGCUAAUACCGCAUAACAACUUUAAACACAAGUUUUAAGUUGAAAGAUGCAAUUGCAUCACUCAAAGAUGAUCCCGCGUUGUAUUAGCUAGUUGGUGAGGUAAAGGCUCACCAAGGCGAUGAUACAUAGCCGACCUGAGAGGGUGAUCGGCCACAUUGGGACUGAGACACGGCCCAAACUCCUACGGGAGGCAGCAGUAGGGAAUCUUCGGCAAUGGACGAAAGUCUGACCGAGCAACGCCGCGUGAGUGAAGAAGGUUUUCGGAUCGUAAAACUCUGUUGGUAGAGAAGAACGUUGGUGAGAGUGGAAAGCUCAUCAAGUGACGGUAACUACCCAGAAAGGGACGGCUAACUACGUGCCAGCAGCCGCGGUAAUACGUAGGUCCCGAGCGUUGUCCGGAUUUAUUGGGCGUAAAGCGAGCGCAGGUGGUUUAUUAAGUCUGGUGUAAAAGGCAGUGGCUCAACCAUUGUAUGCAUUGGAAACUGGUAGACUUGAGUGCAGGAGAGGAGAGUGGAAUUCCAUGUGUAGCGGUGAAAUGCGUAGAUAUAUGGAGGAACACCGGUGGCGAAAGCGGCUCUCUGGCCUGUAACUGACACUGAGGCUCGAAAGCGUGGGGAGCAAACAGGAUUAGAUAUCCUGGUAGUCCACGCCGUAAACGAUGAGUGCUAGAUGUAGGGAGCUAUAAGUUCUCUGUAUCGCAGCUAA
RNAcentral lists this ribosomal RNA (729 nucleotides) under Lactococcus lactis. Its description in RNAcentral is "bacterial SSU rRNA". It matches the Rfam family "Bacterial small subunit ribosomal RNA", at positions 137 to 855 of the family's 1533-position model. Lineage: Bacteria; Bacillati; Bacillota; Bacilli; Lactobacillales; Streptococcaceae. The record is from RNAcentral.